Molecule: long non-coding RNA, 1076 nt
Organism: Salarias fasciatus (jewelled blenny)
Lineage: Eukaryota; Metazoa; Chordata; Actinopteri; Blenniiformes; Blenniidae
Exons: 3
Source: RefSeq, a predicted model, not a curated record
CCAUGCUGGACCUUUUCUAGAAGGUUUAUCUGCGUUUAUUUGCGUUUCACUUCGACGGCACCGCAGCUUCCAGCGUCACGCACGGAUAACCGCGUCUUUUCCUGCUGCUCAGAAGAAGAGGUUGGAGCCCCCAGACCCCCCGAGGCUGGAGGCCGGAACCUUCAAGAGAUGGAUUCACCUCCAAGGAGACGGCACAGCAGAGACCAGCCGUUUGACCUGUCAGAUCUGGUCAUUAAACUUCAGCUGGAUUCAGAUUCUUUCACCUCGCUGCUCAACAGCAAUGAACCAAGGAUGAGGGAGAUCGUGGAGGAGCUUCUGAGGAUUUCUGAAGAAGUCAAAGACAUGCAGAGAGGAACAGAUGGUCUAAGAACAGCCGGAGCUGUAGGAGCUGCAGGUGGAGCUGCUCUCCUCCUGCUCAGUGUAGCAGUCCCAGUUCUUCUUCCAUUUGCUGCUGCUGCUGCUGGUGCAGCUGGUGCAGCUGGUGGUGCAGCUGCUCUUACAGGUGGAGGUGCUGUCAUCAGUGCAAAUAUCACUAAAAUGAUGAGUGAGAGUGGAAGUGCUGAAAAGGUGAAGAAUAUGGGAGCAGAGUUUAUGAAGACUGUUGAACCGAUGAAGCAGCUCUUGGUUCAAAUCCAUCAAACAUGUGAAGAUCUGGAGGAGAAAGGCUCCAAGUAUCAGGCUGAAGAGUCCCUGAAAGAUGUGGAGGAUCUUCAGAAGGUCCUCCAUCAGGUGUCUGAGCUGAAGGAGAAGAGUGGAGGAGCUGUUGAUGUGGUGGAGGUGUUGAUUCAAUCAGUAACCGGCCUGCUGCUGCUGCUCGUGAACGUUAUCAGAGUCACUGCAACACCUGAAGAAGACCAGAAGCUGAGAGACGCCAUCAUUCAGUCAGCUGAUCAGAGCCAGAGGCUCACUGAGGACUUCUGUCUGAUGAGGGAGGAACUGGCAAAGUUCAGGAAGUGAAGAGAACACACACACACACACACACACACACACACAUACACACACACACACACACACACACACACACACACACACACACACACACACACACACACACACACACACACACACACACAGUC